This 301-nucleotide ribosomal RNA is filed under the name uncultured bacterium. RNAcentral's name for it is "partial 16S ribosomal RNA". It matches the Rfam family "Bacterial small subunit ribosomal RNA", at positions 509 to 807 of the family's 1533-position model. The record is from RNAcentral.
CAGUAGCCACGGUAAUACGAAGGGUGCAAGCGUUAAUCGGAAUUACUGGGCGUAAAGCGUGCGUAGGCGGUUUGUUAAGUCUGUUGUGAAAUCCCCGGGCCCAACCUGGGAAUGGCAAUGGAUACUGGCAAGCUAGAGUGUGUCAGAGGAUGGUGGAAUUCCCGGUGUAGCGGUGAAAUGCGUAGAGAUCGGGAGGAACAUCAGUGGCGAAGGCGGCCAUCUGGGACAACACUGACGCUGAGGCACGAAAGCGUGGGGAGCAAACAGGAUUAGAUACCCGAGUAGUCCCUGUCUCUUAUAC